UACGGAGGGUGCAAGCGUUAUCCGGAUUCACUGGGUUUAAAGGGUGCGUAGGCGGGCAGGUAAGUCAGUGGUGAAAUCUUCGAGCUUAACUCGGAAACUGCCGUUGAUACUAUCUGUCUUGAAUACUCGGGAGGUGAGCGGAAUAUGUCAUGUAGCGGUGAAAUGCUUAGAUAUGACAUAGAACACCAAUUGCGAAGGCAGCUCACUACAGAGUCAUUGACGCUGAGGCACGAAAGCGUGGGGAGCAAACAGG
This 253-nucleotide ribosomal RNA is filed under the name uncultured bacterium. Its description in RNAcentral is "partial 16S ribosomal RNA". It matches the Rfam family "Bacterial small subunit ribosomal RNA", at positions 524 to 776 of the family's 1533-position model. The record is from RNAcentral.